UUGGUGCAAGCUCUAUAUUAUUACUUGAAUAGGGCAUUAAAUAGGAGAGCACCACACAUGCUUGGUAUUACCACCAUGCAAAUGUCACACCAGCCAAUUAUUAACAGCGGUCCCUUUAACUUCAAUAGCUAUUGAAACAACCAAGGAUGACAUGGGUAUACUCAGAUUUUAGUUAAUAAGAUUAGAAAUGAGAAGGAAAUAAAGUAGGUGAGGAUAGGGAUAAAUAAAAAAAUAUUGAGGCAGAUAAAGUAGCUGGGAAAGGAAAGUCGGUUGGGAUACUGUUCAGGUCCACGGAUUUUAGUGAUUAUUAAAGCUGUGGAAGGUUAUCAUUAAUAAGUAAAAAGAUGAGGAUUGGAGAAACAUACAUGCGGGCAAAACACUAAUACACAUGAAAUAAAAAUUAAUCAUUUAACACAUUUUUAAAAGGAAGAAGUAAAAAGUGGCUGAACAUAGUGGCACACACCUUUAACCCCAGUUCUCAGGAGGCAGAGGCAGGUGGAUCUCUGUGAGUCUCAGGCCCUGUUCUACAUUUGAACUCCAGGCCAUUCAGGGCUACUGACUGAGAUCCUGUCUAAAACAAACAAACAAACAAACAAACAAACAAACCUCCCCCAAAAUGAAAAGAGUAGUGGAGAGGAUAAGAAAAGAAGAUAGGACAUAGGAAUCAGACAGGAAGCAUGAGCUGUGAUUGUAGAGUAAAGAAUAAACUGGAUGGAGAAAAUAAAUAGCAGUUCUGGUUUUGCCUUCUCUCUUCUAGCACACCUUGGCUACUGCUAAGUGAUGGUGGAAGCUGAGGUGACCAGAAAGUUCCAGUUCCCAUUGAGCACCUCCACAAAUGCCUCUGCAACACUGUUGUGUCAUUACGGGGGAGUACCUAUCUGUUAUCUGUUCUUCUUGAAUUGUGACCCUAACUAAGCAUGCUCAGAUGCUUGAGUUGAACAUGCACUGGUUUGGGCCCUUCCCAAAUGCCCCCCCCAUAUCAAUAUGUUUAGGCCUCUAACAAUUCUUCACCCUUCCUUUGUUUGAGGCGAGCACUAUGCUCUCCUGCCUGUAGGUGAUAAACAUCCUUCACGGUUGUGUCCUGACUGUGAUUUUAAGUCUCGCACUUGAAGCUGCUCACACAGCCACAGCUGGGAUGCUGGUGCUAAGCUUGCUUCUUCGGUUUUCUCCAUUUUACUCAGUCCGGGACCCCAGACCAUGGAUGGUGCAACUGACUUUCAGUGCAAGUCUUCCUCACUCAGCUCAACACCCUCCUAAGACACAUCCAGAGGUGUGAUUCCAUAUCUCAGGUCACACUCUAUCACUGAGGAAAGUCAGGGCAGGACCCUGGAGACAGGAACUGAAGUAGAGGCCAUGGGAGAACGCUGCUUGCUGGCUUGCUUCUCAUGCCUUGUUCAGCCUACCUUCUGAUCGAUAUACCUCAAGACCGUCCCCCAUGGGCUGGGCCCCUUCACAUCAACCUGGAUGAAGGCAUUUUUCGCAACUGGGUCUCCCUUUUGCCAAAUGACUAAAGCAUUGAUUGGUCAAGUUGACAAGAUAACCAACACAUGAAGAAGAGAAAUGGGCCUAAUAAAAAAUUUGAAUCCCUGUCCACAAAAUAAAAUAAAAUAAAUUCAACUGUUGUAUAA
Non-coding RNA from Cricetulus griseus (Chinese hamster), 1628 nucleotides. The record is from RefSeq and is a predicted model, not a curated record. NCBI's taxonomy places the organism in Eukaryota, Metazoa, Chordata, Mammalia, Rodentia, Cricetidae.